GGGUUGUGAGGUUAAGCGACUAAGCGUACACGGUGGAUGCCCUGGCAGUCAGAGGCGAUGAAGGACGUGCUAAUCUGCGAUAAGCGCCGGUAAGGUGAUAUGAACCGUUAUAACCGGCGAUUUCCGAAUGGGGAAACCCAGUGUGACUCGUCACACUAUCAUUAACUGAAUCCAUAGGUUAAUGAGGCGAACCGGGGGAACUGAAACAUCUAAGUACCCCGAGGAAAAGAAAUCAACCGAGAUUCCCCCAGUAGCGGCGAGCGAACGGGGAGGAGCCCAGAGCCUGAAUCAGCAUGUGUGUUAGUGGAAGCGUCUGGAAAGGCGCGCGAUACAGGGUGACAGCCCCGUACACAAAAGCGCAUGUGCUGUGAGCUCGAUGAGUAGGGCGGGACACGUGGUAUCCUGUCUGAAUAUGGGGGGACCAUCCUCCAAGGCUAAAUACUCCUGACUGACCGAUAGUGAACCAGUACCGUGAGGGAAAGGCGAAAAGAACCCCGGCGAGGGGAGUGAAAAAGAACCUGAAACCGUGUACGUACAAGCAGUGGGAGCACCCUUUGGGGUGUGACUGCGUACCUUUUGUAUAAUGGGUCAGCGACUUAUAUUCUGUAGCAAGGUUAACCGAAUAGGGGAGCCGGAGGGAAACCGAGUCUUAAUUGGGCGUUAAGUUGCAGGGUAUAGACCCGAAACCCGGUGAUCUAGCCAUGGGCAGGUUGAAGGUUGGGUAACACUAACUGGAGGACCGAACCGACUAAUGUUGAAAAAUUAGCGGAUGACCUGUGGCUGGGGGUGAAAGGCCAAUCAAACCGGGAGAUAGCUGGUUCUCCCCGAAAGCUAUUUAGGUAGCGCCUCGUGAAUUCAUCUCCGGGGGUAGAGCACUGUUUCGGCUAGGGGGCCAUCCCGGCUUACCAACCCGAUGCAAACUGCGAAUACCGGAGAAUGUUAUCACGGGAGACACACGGCGGGUGCUAACGUCCGUCGUGAAGAGGGAAACAACCCAGACCGCCAGCUAAGGUCCCAAAGUCAUGGUUAAGUGGGAAACGAUGUGGGAAGGCCCAGACAGCCAGGAUGUUGGCUUAGAAGCAGCCAUCAUUUAAAGAAAGCGUAAUAGCUCACUGGUCGAGUCGGCCUGCGCGGAAGAUGUAACGGGGCUAAACCAUGCACCGAAGCUGCGGCAGCGACGCUGAUGCGUUGUUGGGUAGGGGAGCGUUCUGUAAGCCUGUGAAGGUGGCCUGUGAGGGUUGCUGGAGGUAUCAGAAGUGCGAAUGCUGACAUAAGUAACGAUAAAGCGGGUGAAAAGCCCGCUCGCCGGAAGACCAAGGGUUCCUGUCCAACGUUAAUCGGGGCAGGGUGAGUCGACCCCUAAGGCGAGGCCGAAAGGCGUAGUCGAUGGGAAACGGGUUAAUAUUCCCGUACUUGGUGUUACUGCGAAGGGGGGACGGAGAAGGCUAUGUUGGCCGGGCGACGGUU
This 1467-nucleotide ribosomal RNA is filed under the name Salmonella enterica. Its description in RNAcentral is "partial 23S ribosomal RNA". It matches the Rfam family "Bacterial large subunit ribosomal RNA", at positions 1 to 1503 of the family's 2925-position model. The record is from RNAcentral. Lineage: Bacteria; Pseudomonadati; Pseudomonadota; Gammaproteobacteria; Enterobacterales; Enterobacteriaceae.